Molecule: non-coding RNA, 45 nt
Organism: Schistosoma mattheei
Lineage: Eukaryota; Metazoa; Platyhelminthes; Trematoda; Strigeidida; Schistosomatidae
Source: Rfam
AUUCAGCUGAAGAGUCACGGAUAAGACGAAAUGAGCGUCCUGAAU